CGUCUCCGCGGCGCCGGGAGGGAGCGGAGCGGCCGCAGCCGCGGCCCCGCUGCGGGCAUGGGGCGGCUCUCGGUGCCGCCGCCGCCGCUGAUGCUGCCGCUUCUGCCGCUUCUGCUGCCGCCCGUGCUGGUGCUGUGGCAGCUCGGCGGAGCCCAGGCUCAGGGCUCGUGUCCCAGGCCGGAGCGGCUGCAGUACGCAGAGCUCGACCAGAGCUCCAGGGAAAUGCAGGAUUUUCCACCUGGGACCAGAGUCUCCUUCACCUGCCGGCCGGGAUACAUGAGGGUGCCAGGGAAGCCACUGAGCUGGACGUGUGGUGAUGACUUGCAGUGGUCACCCAAGGGCGCCUUCUGUACAGCGAGAAAAUGUAUUUACCCAGGAGACUUGGAAAAUGGUUAUUUUGACCCAACAGAUCUUACAUUUGGUUCAAAAUUGACAUUUCAUUGUAAAGAGGGGUACAGAUUGCGGGGUAAGGGGGAGAUUUCCUGUGAUAUCAAGAAUGAAGGUGUUGGCUGGAGUGGAGGUCUGCCUUACUGUGAAAGAAUUCCUUGUGAGCCACCUCCCAAAAUAGCCAACGGGGGCUAUGAGGAGAGAGCCAGCUACGUGUACCAGAGCGCGGUGACCUACAGGUGUCAGGAUGUCCCCAAGGGCAGUGAUCCCUUCUCCCUCGUUGGCUCAGACACGAUUUACUGCACGUCUGAUGAACACUCAAAUGGAGUUUGGAGUGGGCCUCCUCCAGAAUGUCGAGUGGUCAAAUGUGAAGAUCCCAGAGUUGAAAAUGGGAGAAAAAUAUCUGGAUUUGGACUUACCUACAAAUACAAGGACUCGGUUGUGUUUGAGUGCAAUCAAGGUUAUUUCUUGGUUGGAGCAGAUGUAAUUACCUGUAAAGAAAAUAAUGCCUGGGAUCCUCCAAAACCAACCUGUGAGAAAAUCACUGCAGAUGUGUGUCCUGCCCCGAAGAUCCCCAACGGGGUCCUGGUUCCAAGCAAGCCUGCCUAUACAAAAGGAGAGUCUGUGCAGAUCCAGUGCAAAGCUGGCUGCUCCUUCCCUGGUGGCUCUGCAGAGAUGACAGUGACCUGUCAAGAACAGAGUUCCUGGGGUGCUUUACAGCCCUGUACCUGUGAGCCUGAAGGUUCUGGUUCCACUCCAGUCAUAAGUUAUGGGAGAGUGAUAGCUGGACAGAAACCUUCCUACUUGGUGGGGGAUUUCAUUACCAUUGAAUGCUACACGGGGUACACCCUGCACGGGGAGGCUCGGAUUCGGUACAUUGGAAACAACCAGUGGGAGCCUGCAGUGCCAGCCUGCCAGCUCAGUGGAUAUAUUAUAGCCAUCAUCUGUGUGAUUGUGGUAGUUGUGGUGCUCCUGGCAGCCUUCUGGAUCUACAAGAAAUUCUUCUCACAGAAUGGCUCGUACACAGUUGAUGAGAGUUGCAAGGAAAUUUGUAUUUUAAAAACUAAUGUCCCAGCUGAGAUGGAAGAAACUGCACAAAUGAAUUAAUGAAAAGAAGAGAAUAAAUGAAGGGUCUAACAAGAUCUUUUGAAACCUUCUUAUGAAAAGGAAACGUGAGAGCACUCCCAGUUCUGCCGAAUAUAAGAUGUGUAAAGCAUGAUGCCCUUUCUGGGGGGAGGGAGGGAGGGAGGGACUCUGCAGUGGGAUGGCCCUGGCAGAGCUGCACAAGCACUGAGUGCCCUUGCAGUGAGUGGCUGGCCCUGAGUUCCUUGUGCUGUGUCUUGCUCUGCUGAUGAACUGCAGGAGGAGAUGCUUGAUAGGAUAAAAAGUGUGCGUGCCUGUAGCUAACACAGACCCUGCUUUGCCUUCUGGGCCCCUCCUUGUCCUUCUGUGCACCUCAGCUGGGGCAGAGGCAGGACCUGUAGCAUGCCAGAGUCUGUGGGAGUGCUGCAAUGCCCCUGUCCCAGUGCCAGCUGCUGCUGCCUGCUGCCUGCAGUGCCACCUCUUGGCCUACAGAAGAUGUCCAAUAUUCUGCUCCCUCCUGUAGAGCUCUGCUCACUCAAACCUGGCUGUCCUUCCCAUCCCUUUUUGCUGUAAAUGGUUCUGUUGUUUCCUUUGUGCUCUGAAAUGUCUUGUUGCUCAUUCCCUGGAGAGUCUGGUGCCGUUGAAGGCAAUGUCUUUUGGAAACUAUCACAAUUAAGAUCUUAUAUACUCUACCUCUUUGUCUGCCAAAGUUGGUUGCUGUAUAUAUAAUGAAUUAAAAUGUGCCUUGAAAUCAGAGUUUUAUAGCUUUUCCUUUGCUUCUGAGAAGGAAAAAAGCCAUGUAUAUUUCUGAUUCUUUGCUGUAAUUUCCCAAAGACUGCAGUGCAUUUGUUGGACCUGAAAACUGAAGGAUUCUGUAGCAAAGGCAUCCCCUGCCUGUUGACAGGAGAUCCCUGAUUAAAGGAACUGCUGAGAGCUCAGUGGUGGCCGUGUCCUGUCAUGGGCACAGUGGAAGUUCCUUAGGCUGCUGGAUUUUAGGGAGCCUUGAUGUCAGUUCUGGAGAUCUUCUGUUGCUUUCCAGGAUAGAAACAGGUGCUGUGUGAUCCACCUUCCUUGCUUUUUUACUUGAAGUCACAUAUUCCACAUUUCUAACCUCUGGCUGCAGACUGGGAUGUUAAAUCAAGCUCUGAAAAAGCUGGAUUUAGCAUCAGAUUCCUGUUUAGAAGCAGAAGCUUUUCCCUGUCACUCACUUCUCAUGUUAAAGGAGAACCAAAUCAGUUGUGGGAGUGCUGGUAGAUGUGGUGGUCUCUUGUUUGCUGCUUGUUCAGUAAAUGUUUCAGUCCAGAUUCUGACUCCAGGAGCUCCCACCACUGUGUUUGCCACUAGUUUAGAAUCACUGCUACUUCUAAUUCCUCAGCAAACCCCAAAUCUUAACUAGAACAAGUUUUAGCUCUAUGAAUCUCCCUGUCAGCAUGCAGGCAGCUUCUGAUUUCCACAGGAAGCCCAACUAGCCUCACUUCAGUGCCUGAGGCAGCACUGAGAGUGCUCUGGCUUCUCUGUGGCUGCUUGGCACUGCUCUCCCUGUCAUCAACAGAUUGCUGCAGUGGCACAGAACUGGUUGGGGCUUUGUAGGGUUUUUUGGGACAGUCCCAGCAGUCGUAUUGUUGGAGUUCAUAAUAGGCUGUGGUUGUUAGAAAGGGGCUUUGGCUCUGCAGAAGGAUUGGCUGUUGGUGGCCUGGCUGAUAGCUCAGUUGGAGAGUUGUUUGUAAACACUGGGAUGUGUGACUGGGACUGAGUGUGGUGCUGGUCAGGAGCUCAGCUUGCUUUGUGUGGCAUCUGCAAUGUCUGAAAUACACUGCAAUGUUCUGAAUUGGGAAGUGAAAUCACUGUAAAAAGUGGCUGUGUUUUUGCUCUUCCUUCUGGAUGUAAAGAUUAGCGGUGAUUUGUAAUAUUCCAAAUAAAAAUGUUAAAUUAUUUA
This is an RNA transcript of Passer domesticus (house sparrow), 3406 nucleotides long. It is a transcript of the gene named membrane cofactor protein-like, with no coding region annotated. NCBI's taxonomy places the organism in Eukaryota, Metazoa, Chordata, Aves, Passeriformes, Passeridae. The record is from RefSeq and is a predicted model, not a curated record. The transcript is spliced from 13 exons.